GGCGUAAAGAGCUCGUAGGCGGUCUGUCGCGUCGGCUGUGAAAUCCCGAGGCUUAACCCNCGGGUCUGCAGUCGAUACGGGCAAACUAGAGUGUUGCAGGGGAGACUGGAAUUCCUGGUGUAGCGGUGAAAUGCGCAGAUAUCAGGAGGAACACCGGUGGCGAAGGCGGGUCUCUGGGCAACAACUGACGCUGAGGAGCGAAAGCGUGGGGAGCGAACAGGAUUAGAUACCCUGGUAGUCCACGCCGUAAACGUUGGGCGCUAGGUGUGGGGGCCAUUCCACGGUCUCCGUGCCGCAGCUAACGCAUUAAGCGCCCCGCCUGGGGAGUACGGCCGCAAGGCUAAAACUCAAAGGAAUUGACGGGGGCCCGCACAAGCGGCGGAGCAUGUUGCUUAAUUCGAUGCAACGCGAAGAACCUUACCUAGGCUUGACAUGCACGGAAAUCUCGCAGAGAUGCGGGGUCCGUAAGGGCCGUGCACAGGUGGUGCAUGGUUGUCGUCAGCUCGUGUCGUGAGAUGUUGGGUUAAGUCCCGCAACGAGCGCAACCCUCGUUCCAUGUUGCCAGCACGUGAUGGUGGGGACUCAUGGGAGACUGCCGGGGUCAACUCGGAGGAAGGUGGGGAUGACGUCAAAUCAUCAUGCCCCUUAUGUCUAGGGCUGCAAACAUGCUACAAUGGCCGGUACAAAGGGCUGCGAUACCGCGAGGUGGAGCGAAUCCCAAAAAGCCGGUCUCAGUUCGGAUUGGGGUCUGCAACUCGACCCCAUGAAGUUGGAGUCGCUAGUAAUCGCAGAUCA
Molecule: ribosomal RNA, 795 nt
Filed under: Geodermatophilus sp. 12d-CH10
Lineage: Bacteria; Bacillati; Actinomycetota; Actinomycetes; Geodermatophilales; Geodermatophilaceae
Description: SSU rRNA
Rfam family: Bacterial small subunit ribosomal RNA
Source: RNAcentral